UACGUAGGGGGCUAGCGUUGUCCGGAUUUAUUGGGCGUAAAGAGCGUGUAGGCGGCCAGGUAGGUCCGUUGUGAAAACUCGAGGCUCAACCUCGAGACGCCGGCGGAAACCCUUUGGCUAGAGUCCGGAAGAGGAGAGUGGAAUUCCUGGUGUAGCGGUGAAAUGCGCAGAUAUCAGGAGGAACACCAAUGGCGAAGGCAGCACUCUGGGACGUGACUGACGCUGAGACGCGAAAGCGUGGGGAGCAAACAGG
RNAcentral lists this ribosomal RNA (253 nucleotides) under uncultured bacterium. Its description in RNAcentral is "partial 16S ribosomal RNA". It matches the Rfam family "Bacterial small subunit ribosomal RNA", at positions 524 to 776 of the family's 1533-position model. The record is from RNAcentral.